Molecule: ribosomal RNA, 520 nt
Filed under: uncultured Glomeromycotina
Lineage: Eukaryota; Fungi; Glomeromycota
Description: SSU rRNA
Rfam family: Eukaryotic small subunit ribosomal RNA
Source: RNAcentral
AGCAGCCGCGGUAAUUCCAGCUCCAAUAGCGUAUAUUAAAGUUGUUGCAGUUAAAAAGCUCGUAGUUGAAUUUCGGGGUCAGCAGGUUGGUCGUGCCACUGGUAUGUACUGGCUUUGCUGAUUCCUCCUUCUUGUAGAACCGUAAUGCCAUUAAUUUGGUGUUGCGGGGAAACAGGACUGUUACUUUGAAAAAAUUAGAGUGUUUAAAGCAGGCUAACGCUUGAAUACAUUAGCAUGGAAUAAUGAAAUAGGACGAGCGAUCCUAUUUUGUUGGUUUCUAGGAUUGACGUAAUGAUUAAUAGGGAUAGUUGGGGGCAUUAGUAUUCAAUUGUCAGAGGUGAAAUUCUUGGAUUUAUUGAAGACUAACUACUGCGAAAGCAUUUGCCAAGGACGUUUUCAUUAAUCAAGAACGAAAGUUAGGGGAUCGAAGACGAUCAGAUACCGUCGUAGUCUUAACCAUAAACUAUGCCGACUAGGGAUCGGAUGAUGUUAAUUUUAUAAUGACUCAUUCGGCGCCUUA